RNAcentral lists this small nuclear RNA (80 nucleotides) under Echinops telfairi (small Madagascar hedgehog). Lineage: Eukaryota; Metazoa; Chordata; Mammalia; Afrosoricida; Tenrecidae. The record is from RNAcentral.
NNNNGGAAUGAUACCAGAGAAGAUUAGCAUGGCCCCUGCACAAGGAUGACACGCAAAUUCGUGAAGCGUUCCAUAUUUGA